This 502-nucleotide ribosomal RNA is filed under the name uncultured Glomeromycotina. RNAcentral's name for it is "partial small subunit ribosomal RNA". It matches the Rfam family "Eukaryotic small subunit ribosomal RNA", at positions 591 to 1092 of the family's 1831-position model. Lineage: Eukaryota; Fungi; Glomeromycota. The record is from RNAcentral.
CCAAUAGCGUAUAUUAAAGUUGUUGCAGUUAAAAAGCUCGUAGUUGAAUUUCGGAAUUUGUCGGUUGGUCGGGCUUCACUGUCCGCACUGGCCUGAUAGAUUCCUACCUUCUGAAUAACCAGCAUGCUAUUAAUUUAGUGCGUUGGGGAAGCAGAGCUAUUACCUUGAAAAAAUUAGAGUGCUAAAAGCAGGCUUAUGCUUGAAUAGAUUAGCAUGGAAUAAUAAAAUAGGACGGCUUGGUUCUAUUUUGUUGGUUUCUAGGAUCACCGUAAUGAUUAAUAGGGAUAGUUGGGGGCAUUAGUAUUCAAUUGUCAGAGGUGAAAUUCUUGGAUUUAUUGAAGACUAACUUCUGCGAAAGCAUUUGCCAAGGAUGUUUUCAUUAAUCAAGAACGAAAGUUAGGGGAUCGAAGACGAUCAGAUACCGUCGUAGUCUUAACCAUAAACUAUGCCGACUAGGGAUCGGACGAUGUUAAUUUUUUAAUGACUCGUUCGGCGCCUUACG